ACUUAAGUCAUUUCCAAUUUUUCUUAUCACAAACAAUAUUUUAAUUGACAUACUCAUGUACCUAAUCAGGUAAACAGAGUGCAAUUAAAGCACAUGUGAUGGACACUUAACCAGUAUAAGGAAGUGAGCAAAAGGUUCUCAGAAGCUGAAACCUCCAAGAUGAGUCCUCAAAGCUGAGCUCUGAGAAGCCCAUCUGUAAAUGAUGAAGAAAAAAUUCUUGGAAUUUUGUAGUGGGAUAUUUUGUUCCACCAGUUUGAUGAAGGAGGGCACUGGCACUGAAGUUUGCUCUGGUAAAACUGAACCCAGCGACAUCGUGAAGAGUCUUCGUUGGAGUGUCUCCCCACUCCUUCCGAUCAAGUAUGUGUUUGUUAGUGCUGGAACAGCAUAGGCUAUCAUUCUCCUAAAUAAGAGCUGGCCGGCCAUGCAGCUGUGUCAGGUGAGCUUAUAUAGUAUUUCUUCUGAGCACUCUACACAUGUGAUUCUGUUUCGGGGUCCUCUGUUGCUCUUCUUUUACCCCUGCACCCUGGUAAUAGAAUCCAGAGAUGAAAAAAGCAUGGAAAAGACUGGAAAACACUUAGUAAUCAGAUGGACUUGGGUUUAAAUGUUUAUUUUAUCGCCUUCCUAAUAUGCUAUCUGAGGCAUAAUCUCUAUUUUUUCAGCUUCAUUGUCCUUAUUUGUAAAAUGACAAUACAAUAUCCAGCAUACAAGAUUGUCAUAAGGAUGAAAUGAGACACGAUGAAUCAAAUGUCUAGCACAAGUCCUGGCAAAUUUAAUGCUCAAUAAGUGGCAGCUACUGCUACACCCAUGAGGAAAAUGUAAACUGUUGGUAUUUUUCUAUCACAAAAACUAAGUCUGGACUUUAGAAUUAGCCAACACUCUAGGGUAGAGACACAAAAAUAACUCAGAUGCAGUUUUCACCCUAGGAAAAAUCCCAAAA
This 937-nucleotide long non-coding RNA is filed under the name Aotus nancymaae (Ma's night monkey). RNAcentral describes it as "lncRNA (ENSANAG00000038756.1)". The record is from RNAcentral. Lineage: Eukaryota; Metazoa; Chordata; Mammalia; Primates; Aotidae.